UUGAAAGGGAAACGAUUGAAGUCAGUCGUCGCACCGGGAAAUCAAUUCAUAGAGCGGAAUGUUGGGUCGUGAAGAGUGAUAAAACCUUUGGGGUUCAGAUAUUUUCACUUUUUGAACGUAUUUUCUCGUACGGUAGGUUAACAUCGAUUUUGAGCAUCAUAAAAUGAUCGGAGGAAAGUAGCUUCGAUCUCGUAUUGAAGUAUGAUAGCCUCUGGUGGAGGUGAUGAACAAGAGCGAGGAGAGCAACGAAUACCCCCUUGGGCUCUCCCUGUGAGGUCUCUGACGGUGCCUCGGUAACGGAAACCUGCCUACCGUAUUGCAAUAUCGCGGUCAAAUGGGUUGGACCGGGUUAAAUUCGUUAAGGAUGUUGACGUA
Molecule: ribosomal RNA, 375 nt
Filed under: uncultured Glomeromycotina
Lineage: Eukaryota; Fungi; Glomeromycota
Description: LSU rRNA
Source: RNAcentral